ACUUUUGGGCAAUGGGGGAAACCCUGAUCCAGCCAUCCCGCGUGUAUGAUGAAGGCCNNNGGGUUNUCAAGUACUUUCGUCAGNGACNAAAAGGUAUCUCCUAAUACGAGAUACUGCUGACGGUACCUGCAGAACAAGCACGGGCUAACGACGUGCCAGCAGCCGCGGUAAUACGUAGGGUGCAAGCGUUAAUCGGAAUUACUGGGCGUAAGGCGUGUGUAGGAGGUUCGGAAAGAAAGAUGAGAAAUCCCAGGGCUCAACCUUGGAACUGCAUUUUUAACUGCCGAGCUAGAGUAUGUCAGAGGGGGGUAGAAUUCCACGCGUAGCAGUGAAAUGCGUAGAUAUGUGGAGGAAUACCGAUGGCGAAGGCAGCCCCCUGGGAUAAUACUGACGCUCAGACACGAAAGCGUGGGGAGCAAACAG
This 423-nucleotide ribosomal RNA is filed under the name uncultured bacterium. RNAcentral describes it as "partial 16S ribosomal RNA". It matches the Rfam family "Bacterial small subunit ribosomal RNA", at positions 360 to 775 of the family's 1533-position model. The record is from RNAcentral.